RNAcentral lists this unclassified non-coding RNA (203 nucleotides) under plant metagenome. RNAcentral describes it as "partial contains small subunit ribosomal RNA, internal transcribed spacer 1, and 5.8S ribosomal RNA". The record is from RNAcentral.
UUUCCGUAGGUGAACCUGCGGAAGGAUCAUUAUCGUAGGGCUUCGGCCCUGUCGAGUUAGAACCUUUGCCUUUUUGAGUACCUUUCGUUUCCUCGGAAGCCUCCGCUGCCAAUGGGGACCCCAAAAAACACGUUGCAGUACCUGUAGCAUUCGGAACAAACAAACAAAAAUUAAAACUUUCAACAACGGAUCUCUUGGUUCUG